Molecule: small RNA, 29 nt
Filed under: Bombyx mori (domestic silkworm)
Lineage: Eukaryota; Metazoa; Arthropoda; Insecta; Lepidoptera; Bombycidae
Description: ovarian small RNA-5732
Source: RNAcentral
UAAGAACCCAGCCACACACGUAUGUCCUU